GCACAAGCAGCGGAGCGUGUGGUUUAAUUCGAUGCUACACGAAGAACCUUACCAGGGUUUGACAUGCUAGUGGUAGGAAACCGAAAGGUGACCGACCCUUCGGGGAGCUAGCACAGGUGCUGCAUGGCUGUCGUCAGCUCGUGUCGUGAGAUGUUCGGUUAAGUCCGCUAACGAGCGCAACCCUCGCUGUGUGUUAUAUGUGUCACAUGGGACUGCCGGCCUUAAGCCGGAGGAAGGUGGGGAUGAUGCCAAGUCAGCAUGGCCUUUAUGUCCUGGGCUACACACACGCUACAAUGGUCAGCACAAUGGGUCGCUAAGCCGCAAGGUGGAGCCAAUCCUAAAAGCAGGCCUCAGUUCAGAUUGUAGGCUGCGACCCGCCUGCAUGAAGAUGGAGUUGCUAGUAACCGCAGGUCAGCUAUACUGCGGUGAAUACGUUCCCGGGUCUU
RNAcentral lists this ribosomal RNA (446 nucleotides) under uncultured Leptolinea sp. RNAcentral describes it as "bacterial SSU rRNA". It matches the Rfam family "Bacterial small subunit ribosomal RNA", at positions 923 to 1382 of the family's 1533-position model. Lineage: Bacteria; Bacillati; Chloroflexota; Anaerolineae; Anaerolineales; Anaerolineaceae. The record is from RNAcentral.